Molecule: long non-coding RNA, 659 nt
Organism: Gossypium arboreum
Lineage: Eukaryota; Viridiplantae; Streptophyta; Magnoliopsida; Malvales; Malvaceae
Exons: 2
Source: RefSeq, a predicted model, not a curated record
AGCCAUUUAGGAAAAAAAAACCUAAACACUCCCUUUUCCAUAUUCGGCCGAACCCUAAUUCCCUUUUGCUCAAACGUCGAUCCACCACAACAGUCGGCGACCAGUGUAUUCGAGCCUCGGCGAUUGUUUUUCCAGCUUUGGGAUCCCUCAUACCUCGAUUUCAACGAAGCAGAAGGAAUCUCAUGGCAUAUUUGCAAGGUACGGGGUACAGAGCCAGUCGUGGUGGUACGUGGCACUCGACAUGGGGCGUACGGAGGCUGUGUACUGGAGGCUGCUGAAGCAUUGGAGGUUGUACGGUGCUGUGAGGCCAGCUGCGGCGCAAGGGAAACCCUAGGUUUCUGUUUGGCUGAACCUAGGUCUAAGUUUUGGGCCAUUGGGCCUUUUAGGCAUUGAGUUAUUUGAUUUAUUUGGUUUUUUUCAUUGUAAUGGGGUUUAGGUCUAUUUGAGUCUGUUUAAUGGACUGUUUUAAUUUAUUUUGGUUCUUUUUUGUUUUGCUAUUUGGUUCUUAAAUCUCUACGUCGGUAAGUGCAGUCCAAUUUCAUGAGUGAGUUUGUUCAUUUAACAAUUAAUUAGGAGGAACAUCUUAAAAGUGAUGGCUAGUGUGAACAAGUGUAGUAUGAUGUAAUUUCUCUUUGCACAUCUUUAACUCAUUUCGAAAA